ACGCACGCUGGCGGCGUGCUUCACCCAUGCAAGUCGAACGGAAAGGCCCUGCUUUUGUGGGGUGCUCGAGUGGCGAACGGGUGAGUAACACGUGAGUAACCUGCCCUUGACUUUGGGAUAACUUCAGGAAACCGGGGUUAAUACCGGUUAGGAGCACCUGCUGCAUGGUGGGGGCUGGGAAGUUUCGGCGGUGGGGGUUGGACUCGCGGCUUAUCAGCUUGGUGGUGGGGUAGUGGCUUACCAAGGCUUUGACGGGUAGCCGACCUGAGGGGGUGACCAGGCACAAUGGGACUGCGAGACGGCCCAGACUCCUACGGGAGGCAGCAGUGGGGAGUAUUACACAAUGGGCGGAAGCCUGAGGCAGCAGCGCCGCGUGCGGGAAGACGGCCUUCGGGUUGUGAACCGCUUUCGCCUGUGACGAAGCGGGAGUGACGGUACUGGGUGAAGAAGCACCGGCUAACUACGUG
RNAcentral lists this ribosomal RNA (467 nucleotides) under uncultured bacterium. RNAcentral's name for it is "partial 16S ribosomal RNA". It matches the Rfam family "Bacterial small subunit ribosomal RNA", at positions 29 to 507 of the family's 1533-position model. The record is from RNAcentral.